GAUGAACGCUAGCGGCAGGCUUAAUACAUGCAAGUCGAGGGAAAGUAGUUUUCGGACUAUGAAGACCGGCGCACGGGUGCGUAACGCGUACACAACAUACCUAAUACUGGAGCAUAGCCUCGGGAAACUGGGAGUAAUUCUCCAUAGCAUUUUAGAGUGGCAUCACUUUGAAAUUAAAGCUCAGGCGGUAUUAGAUUGGUGUGCGUAUGAUUAGUUUGUUGGCAGGGUAACGGCCUACCAAGACUACGAUCAUUAGCUGGCGUGAGAGCGCGACCAGCCACACUGGAACUGAGACACGGUCCAGACUCCUACGGGAGGCAGCAGUGGGGAAUAUUGGACAAUGGGCGCAAGCCUGAUCCAGCAAUGCCGCGUGUGUGAAGAAGGCCUGCGGGUUGUAAAGCACUUUCAGUGGGGAAGAACGGGCCAAGGUUAAUACCCCUCGGCUUCUGACGUUACCCACAGAAGAAGCACCGGCUAACUCCGUGCCAGCAG
Molecule: ribosomal RNA, 492 nt
Filed under: uncultured bacterium
Lineage: Bacteria
Description: bacterial SSU rRNA
Rfam family: Bacterial small subunit ribosomal RNA
Source: RNAcentral